This 458-nucleotide ribosomal RNA is filed under the name uncultured bacterium. RNAcentral describes it as "partial 16S ribosomal RNA". It matches the Rfam family "Bacterial small subunit ribosomal RNA", at positions 338 to 795 of the family's 1533-position model. The record is from RNAcentral.
CCUACGGGUGGCAGCAGUGAGGAAUAUUGGUCAAUGGGCGAGAGCCUGAACCAGCCACGUCGCGUGAGGGAGUACUGCCCUAUGGGUUGUAAACCUCUUUUGUCGGGGAGCAAAAGCCGGACGUGUCCGGCUGUGAGAGUACCCGAAGAAAUAGCAUCGGCUAACUCCGUGCCAGCAGCCGCGGUAAUACGGAGGAUGAGAGCGUUUUCCGGAUUUAUUGGGUUUAAGGGGUGCGCAGGCGGAUUUUUAAGUCAGCGGUAAAAUCGUGGGGCUCAAACCCAUCCAGCCGUUGAAACUGGGGAUCUAGAGUGUGCGAGAGGUAAGCGGAAUGCGAGGUGUAGCGGUGAAAUGCAUAGAUAUCACGCAGAACCCCGAUGGCGAAGGCAGCAUACCGGUGCACAACUGACGCUCAGGCACGAAAGCGUGGGUAGCGAACAGGAUUAGAUACCCGGGUAGUC